AAAAAAAGGACUCAGGAACAUAGAAAUGAGACAUUUAUGGCGGUCACUUCUCUUCCGAAAGUACCCUCGCUCGUCCCUCAUAACCCCUGCUCAUGCCUCCCAUCAUCAUUUCCAGGUACACUCCUCUUCCCCUUCUCUUCGCUCUUUCAAUUCGCUUCACACGUCUUCACUUCAAGUUCAUUUCGUAGGCCUUAAAAAUCCC
This 202-nucleotide unclassified non-coding RNA is filed under the name Hevea brasiliensis (rubber tree). The record is from RNAcentral. Lineage: Eukaryota; Viridiplantae; Streptophyta; Magnoliopsida; Malpighiales; Euphorbiaceae.